CGUAGUUCGGCUUGAAGACGCGGCUUCUCGGAAAGAUGACACGCGCGGAAUAUCUGCAGGGUGGCCGGAGGCACAAAGCCAGUAAAGGGACUGCUGCUCUCGGCCUUAAAUUUGAAGUGUGAAGAGGCGUUUACCAUGAAAAUAGAAGCUACCCUCUCUUACCAAAAUGAAAAUCUGGAUUUAGAACAUGCUUAUUCUCCAUUAUCCAGGUGGCAGAGUUGACUGAACAGAGCAAACAUAAAGCAGAGUCUACACAGAACAGCAGUUCCUCUGCAAAGAAUGCUGCUGGGGACCAAGGAAGCCAAUGGACAAAGGGCACUAGGGAUAGAUCACUCUGAAGGAAACGCCACUCAUCUCUCCCUGCCAGUGGCUGUGGUGGACACCUAUCCCUUACCUCCUCAUCAGAAGUUACUUUUGCAGCUAUUCUUCCUUAGACACUGGCCACAAUCCUUCCUCAAGAUGAAUGACAAUGUGUGAACAAGAGCUCCAAAGCAGCAAGAGAAGUAGCAAUUCAGUACAAUGCCACAUGAAAAACCAGAUUUGCAAGUUUUGGAGAAGGUCAGAAGUGAAUCAUCAGAUUACUCAUGCAUGGAUGAUGAAGAUGAUGAUGAAAAUAAUGAUGACUGAUGAUAAUGAAUGAAGAUGAUAAUGAUGAUGUUGGCUAUGUGAGCCAAAGUUCCAGUGACAGUGAAAUGGAGCAAGAAUCGGCUGAUACAUACAAAGGGAAUGGAGACCUUCUUGAUUCAGAUGACAAAACAGCAGUGUGAGUACAUAUUUGACUAGUUGAAAUGUUGCAAAAUGUUCACACAACCAAGUAGAACAAUCCAGUGUUAGAACUAGGUCUGGAAAUAUAGGAUCUUGGCAGGGGUGAAACCUGUUGGACAGAAUGCCAGCCCUGCCAUUCAGUGUUAGAAACUGUAACAGAUGAAAUACUACAAGAUGUUGUGAAAUACACAAAGGCUGAAAUAUACGUAAAACAUUUUAUAUGCACCAAUAGCCAUAUUCAAAAAUGUUUAUUAUGACACCUCAUUAGCUGAACUGAAAGCAUUCGUAGGUCUGCUGUACUUAGCAGGGAUUUCUCAGAGUAAUCACAGGAAUGUAAAAGACUCAUGGAAAAAUGAUGGGUCAAAAUAUGGCAUAAAAAUGUAUGCCCUUGUAGAUGUGAAGACAUUAUGCUUUCAGUUUAGAAAUUUAUCUUGGAACUAAGCACUAGGUCCUUAUUCAUAUAGUAAUAAACUAAAUGAUGUUGUGAACAGUCUUGUUGCUCCCAUCUCCCAAACUAAUCAGAAUGUGACAUUCAACAAUUGGCUUACCAGUUUCCAAUUGACAUUACAUUUGCUAACAGUUGACUAGCAUAGGAACUGUAUGCAGGAACAAAGGAGAAAUUCCAAACUAAACGUUGCAAUUUCAAAACAGAGAAUUGUAUAGUACAAUCUUUGGACUUCAGAAAGAUUUACUUUGGCUUCAUAUAUGGCAAAGAAAAACAAACUGGUACUACUGAUGUCAGCAUUGCACUAUGAUGGAAAUGAUAGGGAAACCUUGACAAAAAGAAGCCUGAGAUGGAAACUUUCUAUAACAAAACCAAAGACAGAGUAGACGUUAGUGAAUUAUGCAGCAACUACAGUAUCACUUGAAACACAAAGCAUUGGCCAAUGGUUGUGUUUUACUCCAUCCUAAACAUGUGUGGCAUAGUUUGAUAGUUUACAAAGAAAAUAACAAGUGCAAAAUAUCACAGAAUUUUCUUAGAGGAUUGGAACUGGAACUCAUAAGAGAUCAUUUACAGCAGAGGAAAAGCAAAAUUUUUCUGCCCAGGGAACUACACACAAAAAAAGGUUGUGGAGUACACUGGUGAGCUGACAGAUGAACAGGCAGGCACAGGAUCACAAAGACCUACUAUAACAACACGAAAACCAAAAAUAUCUCAACUGUGCCCUACAAGAAAGGACAGGAGAACAAAACAUAGGUGCUCUCAGUGUGACACUUGUAUAUGGAACAUUCAGCUUACAUGUGUUAAGACUGCCUUGAGUGUGAUAGUUGAAGCAAAGAUUAUUUCUGUGGUAGACAUUUGUAUUUACAUUGUAGUCCACAUAGGUUUAUAUUUCUGAUGUUGCCAGAUUUUGUAAGCAAGUAAACAGCUGAUGUGAAAAUCUUGAUGCCUAUUCUAAGCACUCAUUAUGUACUUGAUAUUUUAUAUAUUGAUCUUAUUUUCCUGCUAAGUGCACAUUGUACAAUAUAGUAGGAAGCUGCUGCCAGAACAGGAAGAGAGAUGACAAGAAUGUCCUGCCAUAUAGGAAAGGAAAGCUAGGAACAUGUGCUAUCAUUGCAAGCAAGACGUGUGCAUGGAGCAUGCAGUUGUCAUGUGUGAAGAUUGCCUUGGGUGGGACAGUUGAAGAAAAGAUUAUUUUUGUUGUAGAAUGCUAUUGAUAUUUCAUUUUAAUUCAUAGAGGAAUUUCUGAUGUUAUCUUUUAGGUUUUGUGAGAAAGUACAGAGCUGUUGUGAAAAUGAUGUUUAUUAUAAACAUACAGUACAUAUUAAGAAUUUAAUUUUAUUGAUAUUUUAUGUUCCUGUUAACCACCCAUUGUAUAAUAUAAUAAGAACCUCCUGACAAAACAGCAAGACCGGUGAGAUGUCAAGUAUGUCCUACAAAAAGGCCAGGAAAGUAAAACACAUGUGCUGUCAGUGUAAGUGAUAUGUGUGUAUGGAAGACGCUGUUGUCAUGUGUGAAGACUGCCUUAGGAGUGAUAACUGAAGUAAAGGUUAUUUUUGCUGUAGGGUGCUAUUGGUAUUUUCAUUGUAGUUCAUAUAGGAAUUUAUUUCUGUUGUUCUUUAGAGUUUGUACGCCAAAAAAGUCAAUGUUGAAAAUUUUGAUGCUUUUUUAUAAACACUCAAUAAAUAUUAAAAACUCAA
This is a long non-coding RNA of Heterocephalus glaber (naked mole-rat), 2907 nucleotides long. RefSeq lists it as uncharacterized. The record is from RefSeq and is a predicted model, not a curated record. NCBI's taxonomy places the organism in Eukaryota, Metazoa, Chordata, Mammalia, Rodentia, Bathyergidae.